GAAUCUUCCGCAAUGGACGCAAGUCUGACGGAGCAACGCCGCGUGAGUGAAGAAGGUUUUCGGAUCGUAAAGCUCUGUUGCCAGGGAAGAACGGAUGGGGGAGUAACUGCCCUUGUCAUGACGGUACCUGAGAAGAAAGCCCCGGCUAACUACGUGCCAGCAGCCGCGGUAAUACGUAGGGGGCAAGCGUUGUCCGGAAUUAUUGGGCGUAAAGCGCGCGCAGGCGGUGCGUUAAGUUUGGUGUUUAAGACUGGGGCUCAACCCUGGAACGCACCGAAAACUGGCGGACUGGAGUGCAGGAGAGGAAAGUGGAAUUCCACGUGUAGCGGUGAAAUGCGUAGAGAUGUGGAGGAACACCAGUGGCGAAGGCGACUUUCUGGCCUGUAACUGACGCUGAGGCGCGAAAGCGUGGGGAGCAAACAG
This 423-nucleotide ribosomal RNA is filed under the name uncultured bacterium. RNAcentral describes it as "bacterial SSU rRNA". It matches the Rfam family "Bacterial small subunit ribosomal RNA", at positions 359 to 775 of the family's 1533-position model. The record is from RNAcentral.